RNAcentral lists this ribosomal RNA (253 nucleotides) under uncultured bacterium. RNAcentral describes it as "partial 16S ribosomal RNA". It matches the Rfam family "Bacterial small subunit ribosomal RNA", at positions 524 to 776 of the family's 1533-position model. The record is from RNAcentral.
UACGAAGGGGACUAGCGUUGUUCGGAAUCACUGGGCGUAAAGCGCACGUAGGUGGAUUUGUAAGUCAGGGGUGAAAUCCCGGGGCUCAACCUCGGAACUGCCUUUGAUACUGCGAAUCUUGAGUCCGAUAGAGGUGGGUGGAAUUCCUAGUGUAGAGGUGAAAUUCGUAGAUAUUAGGAAGAACACCAGUGGCGAAGGCGGCCCACUGGAUCGGUACUGACACUGAGGUGCGAAAGCGUGGGGAGCAAACAGG